UGAACAUUGGGCUAUAACCUAUGGACCUAUUUCUAAAAGGACUUUUGGCAACUACAAGCUCAUCUCUAUUAUGUCUCUGAACCUCAAGAAUGAAUUCAAAUGUGUCUGUGUAUUGAUCUCUAA
Long non-coding RNA from Gopherus evgoodei (Goodes thornscrub tortoise), 123 nucleotides. RefSeq lists it as uncharacterized. The record is from RefSeq and is a predicted model, not a curated record. Lineage: Eukaryota; Metazoa; Chordata; Testudines; Testudinidae. The transcript is spliced from 3 exons.